Long non-coding RNA from Oncorhynchus keta (chum salmon), 266 nucleotides. RefSeq lists it as uncharacterized. Lineage: Eukaryota; Metazoa; Chordata; Actinopteri; Salmoniformes; Salmonidae. The record is from RefSeq and is a predicted model, not a curated record. The transcript is spliced from 2 exons.
CGCAUAGAAGCAGCUACAAACAACGCUACGGUGCAGGUCUUUCAAUGUAGUUAUUUCUUGUCACGCUUCAGCCUUGGAAAAAUAUUUGUUUGUAAAUUCGAUUCAAGCAUUUAGCUAAUGAUGAUAAUCUUGUUAUUGAUAGAGUUUCUUACAUAUCAAUGUUGGUUGCAUUUACUCACAAAUUGCAAUGCCUUUUGUGUAUGUCGUUAGCUGUAUUACUUUGCUCAUGCGUCAUGCAAACGAAUUGUAAAAUAUACAAUACUGUA